RNAcentral lists this ribosomal RNA (253 nucleotides) under uncultured bacterium. RNAcentral's name for it is "partial 16S ribosomal RNA". It matches the Rfam family "Bacterial small subunit ribosomal RNA", at positions 524 to 776 of the family's 1533-position model. The record is from RNAcentral.
UACGAAGGGGGCUAGCGUUGUUCGGAAUUACUGGGCGUAAAGCGCACGUAGGCGGCUUUGUAAGUUAGAGGUGAAAGCCUGGGGCUCAACUCCAGAAUUGCCUUUAAGACUGCAUCGCUUGAACGUCGGAGAGGUGAGUGGAAUUCCGAGUGUAGAGGUGAAAUUCGUAGAUAUUCGGAAGAACACCAGUGGCGAAGGCGGCUCACUGGACGACUGUUGACGCUGAGGUGCGAAAGCGUGGGGAGCAAACAGG